GUGGGGAAUAUUGCGCAAUGGGCGAAAGCCUGACGCAGCAACGCCGCGUGAGUGAUGAAGGUCUUCGGAUCGUAAAGCUCUGUCAGCGGGAGAGAUGGGUUCGAUGGCUAAUAUCCAUCGGAUUUGACGGUACCCGCGAAGGAAGCACCGGCUAACUCUGUGCCAGCAGCCGCGGUAAGACAGAGGGUGCAAGCGUUGUUCGGAAUUAUUGGGCGUAAAGCGCGCGUAGGCGGCGGGACAAGUCAAAUGUGAAAUCCCAGGGCUUAACCCCGGAAGUGCAUUCGAAACUGUCUCGCUUGAGUUUCGGAGAGGGUGGUGGAAUUCCCAGUGUAGAGGUGAAAUUCGUAGAUAUUGGGAGGAACACCAGUGGCGAAGGCGGCCACCUGGACGAUGACUGACGCUGAGGCGCGAGAGCGUGGGGAGCAAACAGGAUUAGAAACCCGGGUAGUCC
RNAcentral lists this ribosomal RNA (451 nucleotides) under uncultured bacterium. RNAcentral's name for it is "bacterial SSU rRNA". It matches the Rfam family "Bacterial small subunit ribosomal RNA", at positions 354 to 796 of the family's 1533-position model. The record is from RNAcentral.